This 433-nucleotide ribosomal RNA is filed under the name uncultured bacterium. Its description in RNAcentral is "partial 16S ribosomal RNA". It matches the Rfam family "Bacterial small subunit ribosomal RNA", at positions 29 to 507 of the family's 1533-position model. The record is from RNAcentral.
AACGAACGCUGGCGGCAUGCCUAACACAUGCAAGUCGAACGAGAUCUUCGGGUCUAGUGGCGCACGGGUGCGUAACGCGUGGGAACCUGCCCUUAGGUUCGGAAUAACUCCCCGAAAGGGGUGCUAAUACCGGAUAAUGUCUUCGGACCAAAGAUUUAUCGCCUUUGGAUGGGCCCGCGUUGGAUUAGCUAGUUGGUAGGGUAAAAGCCUACCAAGGCGACGAUCCAUAGCUGGUCUGAGAGGAUGAUCAGCCACACUGGGACUGAGACACGGCCCAGACUCCUACGGGAGGCAGCAGUGGGGAAUAUUGGACAAUGGGCGAAAGCCUGAUCCAGCAAUGCCGCGUGAGUGAUGAAGGCCUUAGGGUUGUAAAGCUCUUUUACCCGGGAUGAUAAUGACAGUACCGGGAGAAUAAGCGCCGGCUAACUCCGUG